RNAcentral lists this ribosomal RNA (28 nucleotides) under Ficus sp. GUY-65. Its description in RNAcentral is "partial 25S ribosomal RNA". Lineage: Eukaryota; Viridiplantae; Streptophyta; Magnoliopsida; Rosales; Moraceae. The record is from RNAcentral.
GCGACCCCAGUCAGGCGGGGUACCCGAA